GCGGCGAGUGAGCGGCAAGAGCUCAGAUUUGAAAUCGUGUUUCGGCACGAGUUGUAGAGUGUAGGCGGGAGUCUCUGUGGAGCGCGGUGUCCAAGUCCCUUGGAACAGGGUGCCUGAGAGGGUGAGAGCCCCGUAGGGUGCUGCGCGAAGCUUUUGAGGCCCUGCUGACGAGUCGAGUUGUUUGGGAAUGCAGCUCCAAGCGGGUGGUAAAUUCCAUCUAAGGCUAAAUAUUGGCGAGAGACCGAUAGCGAACAAGUACUGUGAAGGAAAGAUGAAAAGCACUUUGAAAAGAGAGUGAAACAGCACGUGAAAUUGUUGAAAGGGAAGGGUAUUGGGCUCGACAUGGGGGGUGCGCACCGCUGUCUCUUGUAGGCGGCGCUCUGGGCGCCCUCUGGGCCAGCAUCGGUUCCUGCUGCGGGAGAAGGGGCUCCGGAAAGUGGCUCUUCGGAGUGUUAUAGCCGGGGCCAGAUGCCGCGUGUGGGGACCGAGGACUGCGGCUUCUGUCUCGGAUGCUGGCAUAACGGCGCAAUACCGCCCGU
RNAcentral lists this ribosomal RNA (539 nucleotides) under uncultured Pichia. Its description in RNAcentral is "eukaryotic LSU rRNA". It matches the Rfam family "Eukaryotic large subunit ribosomal RNA", at positions 86 to 652 of the family's 3401-position model. The record is from RNAcentral. Lineage: Eukaryota; Fungi; Ascomycota; Saccharomycetes; Saccharomycetales; Saccharomycetaceae.